This 337-nucleotide long non-coding RNA is filed under the name Lathyrus oleraceus (garden pea). Its description in RNAcentral is "Pisum sativum (pea) long non-coding RNA (PSAT_LNC008256)". The record is from RNAcentral. Lineage: Eukaryota; Viridiplantae; Streptophyta; Magnoliopsida; Fabales; Fabaceae.
AGAGGUAAAUCCACAUGGGGACAGGUACAACUAGACGUCAUAGGACGAAUAGGAAAAACUCGACGUUUAUCGACACCAACGGAGAGGAGGAAACUCUACUGGGGAGAGUGAACACAACCAAAUCAUCAACGGAUGAUUGGGAAAAACUCGACGUUUAUCGACACCAACGGAGAGAAGGAAAACUCAACCAGACAUCAUAGGACGAAAGGGAGACUCACGUUUAUCGACACCAACGGAGAGGAGGAAAACUCAACCAGACAUCAUAGGACGCAAGGGAGACUCACGUUUAUCGACACCAACGGAGAGGAGGAAUCUUCACUAGGGAAGGGAUAGCGAC